This 502-nucleotide long non-coding RNA is filed under the name Carica papaya (papaya). RNAcentral describes it as "long non-coding RNA (CPAP_LNC004242)". The record is from RNAcentral. Lineage: Eukaryota; Viridiplantae; Streptophyta; Magnoliopsida; Brassicales; Caricaceae.
ACUAAUCUAACCCCUACACAAUGCUUAUUCACCCAUUACCAAUAAGACUCAAACAAGCCCAAAUUAUCUCAAAUAAUUUAAACCCAAUUAAAGUUACGAAUUUAGGCUAUUCAAAAAGCUCAUAUUUGAACUUUCCAAAAUUGGCCAGCCCAUCAUCCACAUGUUUUUGAGUAAAAACUUGGAGCAACUCUUUAAGCUUCUUUGCCUUUGAUCUUGUUACUAGUUCACUGAAACUUUCAAGGUUUGAAACUGUAUUUAUGUUUACAUCAUUUGAAAUUUGCUCCAAGUCACUUUCUGAUGCUCUUUGAGUAUCUUGAGUGUUUUUAGCCUUAUUUGCACCAUUCCCCCUCUCCUCGAAAGGAUUCGUUCUCGAAUCAAUUCCUGCAUCAAUUUCAAAAGGGGAUAAAUUAGAUAUGUUAAAUGUAGCUGAAACACUAUACUCACCUGGUAGGUCCACUUUGUAGGCAUUUUCAUUGAUUUUGGCUAUGAUUUGAAAUGGACC